CGUAGGGAAACCGAGUCUUAACCGGGCGUUAAGUUGCAGGGUAUAGACCCGAAACCCGGUGAUCUAGCCAUGGGCAGGUUGAAGGUUGGGUAACACUAACUGGAGGACCGAACCGACUAAUGUUGAAAAAUUAGCGGAUGACCUGUGGCUGGGGGUGAAAGGCCAAUCAAACCGGGAGAUAGCUGGUUCUCCCCGAAAGCUAUUUAGGUAGCGCCUCGUGAAUUCAUCUCCGGGGGUAGAGCACUGUUUCGGCUAGGGGGCCAUCCCGGCUUACCAACCCGAUGCAAACUGCGAAUACCGGAGAAUGUUAUCACGGGAGACACACGGCGGGUGCUAACGUCCGUCGUGAAGAGGGAAACAACCCAGACCGCCAGCUAAGGUCCCAAAGUCAUGGUUAAGUGGGAAACGAUGUGGGAAGGCCCAGACAGCCAGGAUGUUGGCUUAGAAGCAGCCAUCAUUUAAAGAAAGCGUAAUAGCUCACUGGUCGAGUCGGCCUGCGCGGAAGAUGUAACGGGGCUAAACCAU
This 525-nucleotide ribosomal RNA is filed under the name Salmonella enterica subsp. enterica serovar Muenchen. Its description in RNAcentral is "partial 23S ribosomal RNA". It matches the Rfam family "Bacterial large subunit ribosomal RNA", at positions 667 to 1190 of the family's 2925-position model. RNAcentral also lists the same sequence under 4 other names. The record is from RNAcentral. Lineage: Bacteria; Pseudomonadati; Pseudomonadota; Gammaproteobacteria; Enterobacterales; Enterobacteriaceae.